Molecule: long non-coding RNA, 697 nt
Filed under: Chinchilla lanigera (long-tailed chinchilla)
Lineage: Eukaryota; Metazoa; Chordata; Mammalia; Rodentia; Chinchillidae
Description: lncRNA (ENSCLAG00000029197.1)
Source: RNAcentral
CCACCCUCAAGGCUCCCAGACUCCCCCUCCGCUGCCGACUGCCCGGCUGCCCGCUCAGCUCUGCGUUCUCUGGCCCUCAGACACCCAACUGUGGCCACUGGGUGAGGUCUGGGGCACCGAACCACCAAACCACACAUCUGCAAAGCGCGAGCUGGUGUCUCUUCACACACUGGCUGCCCGCCUGGUCUGGCUCCAGGCACUGCCUGGCCCAGAAGUGGUUAUGACCGCCUGAGCUUGCUACCUGGGGUGCCAGAAUGGGAGUGCAGGUGGAGAGGGGCAGAGAGCCUCCUUCAAACCCUGGGAGCUGGGGAGCCACUCCGUGCUGCCUGGGGAUGGCACAAGGGAGCACAAAUUCGGGCCAGCUCAGAGGUGGGUAGCGGUGUCCCUCAUAGCCUUAAUUUGCAUGUCUCUAGUGAGCAGGGGUCUUGAGCAUCCUCUCAGGUGCUCAUUUGCCAAUCAUAUGUCUCCUUUGGAAAAGGAAAUAUAUGCCUGAAUCUUAUGUUCAGUUGUAAAAAUUGGGCAUGGUGGCACACACCUGUAAUCCCAGCACUUUGGAGGCUGAGGCAGGAGGAUUGCCAUGAGUUAGAGGCCAGCCUGGCCUACAUAGUGAGUUCAAGGCCAACCUGAACUACACAGUGAGACCCCUUCUCAAAAAACAAACAAAUAAAAAUUUUACUUUAUCAUCUUAUUGAGCUGC